AGUGAACGCUGGUGGUAGGCCUAACACAUGCAAGUCGAACGGCAGCACAGUAAGAGCUUGCUCUUACGGGUGGCGAGUGGCGGACGGGUGAGGAAUACAUCGGAAUCUACUUUUUCGUGGGGGAUAACGUAGGGAAACUUACGCUAAUACCGCAUACGACCUACGGGUGAAAGCAGGGGAUCUUCGGACCUUGCGCGAUUGAAUGAGCCGAUGUCGGAUUAGCUAGUUGGCGGGGUAAAGGCCCACCAAGGCGACGAUCCGUGGCUGGUCUGAGAGGAUGAUCAGCCACACUGGAACUGAGACACGGUCCAGACUCCUACGGGAGGCAGCAGUGGGGAAUAUUGGACAAUGGGCGCAAGCCUGAUCCAGCCAUACCGCGUGGGUGAAGAAGGCCUUCGGGUUGUAAAGCCCUUUUGUUGGGAAAGAAAAGCAGCAGGUUAAUACCCCGCUGUUCUGACGGUACCCAAAGAAUAAGCACCGGCUAACUUCGUG
This 492-nucleotide ribosomal RNA is filed under the name uncultured bacterium. Its description in RNAcentral is "partial 16S ribosomal RNA". It matches the Rfam family "Bacterial small subunit ribosomal RNA", at positions 29 to 507 of the family's 1533-position model. The record is from RNAcentral.